UACAGAGGGGGCAAGCGUUGUUCGGAAUUACUGGGCGUAAAGGGCGCGUAGGUGGCCUUCUAAGUUGAACGUGAAAUCCCUGGGCUCAACCCAGGAACUGCGUCCAAGACUGGGAGGCUUGAAUCCGGGAGAGGGAUGCGGAAUUCCAGGUGUAGCGGUGAAAUGCGUAGAUAUCAUUUGGAACGCCAAUGGUGAAAACAGGUAGCUGGGGCUGUGCUGACACUGAGACACGAAAGCCAGGGGAGCAAACGGG
RNAcentral lists this ribosomal RNA (253 nucleotides) under uncultured bacterium. RNAcentral's name for it is "partial 16S ribosomal RNA". It matches the Rfam family "Bacterial small subunit ribosomal RNA", at positions 524 to 776 of the family's 1533-position model. The record is from RNAcentral.